UAAUUAUCUUUUAUUGUCAAAAGAUGGGCUGCCGUCUACUAAGAACAGCCCUCCCUCCGCACGUUUUUGGCAUUAAAGGCCUAUUGGAAAUAAUAGAGGUCCUCAAGAAAUGUUAACUGGGAAAGGGACCCUGAGGUGCGUGAGAGGGACUGGGAGUGAGAACAUAUAGGAAAAUCCUGGUUAUAAACUCCUCAGGGAUGGAAGAGGGAGUGACUUUACUAAUUGCCACUCAGGUUUUAGCUCCAGUGGCUUGUGGCCAAUACCCCUCUCCCAUCCGAAAACACACCGUGGGAUAUCCAAAGAGGAGCCAUUCCAGCUGCCGUCAGCCACCCCUUUUCCCUCUAAUUCUCACACAUUCGAGAUGCCAGUUGCCCAUUUCAAGGCAUGGAGAUAACGAGAGACUUCUGCCUCCAGUCAGACUGUGCCUAACCUAGAGACUUAGAAUUACAGAAUUUUGAUCUAGAAGGGACCUUACAUACGGAAAUUUGAAGCCUAAGAAAACUGACUUGCCUAUGGUCACACAGCUUAAAUUCCCGUAUCUGCUUUCUCCUAGCUCAGUGCCCGCAGGAAAUUUCCCACAGGAAAAGACUGCAACUCCAUCUUGUGUAGUUUCAUGACUUGAUGCCAGAAGACGUAGUUUGGUAGAUGAGUCCAGACGAAUGGUUGUUCUGACGGCUGAGCACACCCCUGGGGCUGGGGGGAGGGGCUGAUUGAGGAAGGUCUCAUGUUCUUGAAUGUGCGCAGCCUAAGUCCCAGUGGGCCCGUUCUCCAGCUGAAGAACCUGAAAGGAGGGCAUUGUCAGGGAUGAGAAACCAACAUUUUUACAGAGCAAUCUUUCUGAAGCUUCCUGUUAACAUAUAAAUGUCAACUGUGUAGCAAGGCUUUUCUAACAAACUUUUGAUAUCUUUUCAGCAUUAAAUUUAUCUUUUUUAUAUAUGCAGUGCCACAGACAGCAUUAUUCAUAAUUUUGCGUGAGACAUCACUAAGACAUUUAAAAGAUUUCAUUUCCUGUAAUCCAUUCAGAUCUUGACAUUUUCCAAGAUGCCAGCCAAGGUGCUUAUCAACUAAAUCUAUCUGUGCGCUUUGAAUGUGGCUCUCUUCCUAACAGGCGUCAUUUUUCUCAUUCAGCCAGUCACCAGUCAACCUAGUAACCUUUUGGUGUCAUUAGCCUGUUGGAACCAGAAUCCUUUAAACUCUGUGUAGACAGAAACUGUUGUAACUUCUCAUUCAAGGACUUCUUUAAUAUUUAAAAUCACAAUAGACUUGUGUGCCACUUUUCACAUGAAAUUGAGUAUAUCUCUACCCCAAUACUGAGUAGAGGAUUUAUUUACAGCUAAAUUUUCUUGCCGAUAAGCAUAGUUUUCAGGAAAUGCUUUUAGCUUUCUCUUUGGUAUAAACUUUGUUUUAUAUUUCUGUUAAAAUUUUUUAAGGUGUUUUUUAAUUUAUGGAAAAAUAGUUACAAGGAAGAAUGUUUACUUCUUGGUGCAAUUUAGAUAAAUAAUUUGAUGAGGAAACCAGAUUUAUGACUCUCUCUGCUCUCUAAACUUUUGUUACAGAACUAACGGGAAGUUACUGGGAUCCAGGAAUUAUGAUUAGCCCAAACUUUGGAGUUUAUUUAAUAUGGGCGGUGCCAUAGGCUUGAAUGGUGGCUCUUCCCCUCUCUCAACACGGACCAAAUGUUACAGCAGCACGGAAAGUGUUGAAACAACAUGCCCACCGGUGCAGCCAGCAGAAACCAACCAGUAAUCAUUUUAUCUUCAAGAUAAACUGGGACACUCGGGACCUUGAGGUGAAACUUCAACCCAGCUCCAUUUCCUGCCGUCUGUGGGAGAAGUCUGUCGGAGGGCUAG
This is a long non-coding RNA of Equus asinus (donkey), 1850 nucleotides long. The record is from Ensembl. Lineage: Eukaryota; Metazoa; Chordata; Mammalia; Perissodactyla; Equidae.